UACGUAGGUCCCGAGCGUUGUCCGGAUUUAUUGGGCGUAAAGCGAGCGCAGGUGGUUUAUUAAGUCUGGUGUAAAAGGCAGUGGCUCAACCAUUGUAUGCAUUGGAAACUGGUAGACUUGAGUGCAGGAGAGGAGAGUGGAAUUCCAUGUGUAGCGGUGAAAUGCGUAGAUAUAUGGGGGAACACCGGUGGCGAAAGCGGCUCUCUGGCCUGUAACUGACACUGAGGCUCGAAAGCGUGGGGAGCAAAUAGG
This 252-nucleotide ribosomal RNA is filed under the name uncultured bacterium. RNAcentral describes it as "partial 16S ribosomal RNA". It matches the Rfam family "Bacterial small subunit ribosomal RNA", at positions 524 to 776 of the family's 1533-position model. The record is from RNAcentral.